This 444-nucleotide ribosomal RNA is filed under the name uncultured bacterium. Its description in RNAcentral is "bacterial SSU rRNA". It matches the Rfam family "Bacterial small subunit ribosomal RNA", at positions 355 to 796 of the family's 1533-position model. The record is from RNAcentral.
UAAGGAAUAUUGGUCAAUGGACGCAAGUCUGAACCAGCCAUGCCGCGUGGAGGAUUAAGGCCCUCUGGGUUGUAAACUCCUUUUAUCUGGGAAGAAAUGCUUUGAUUCUUCGAAGCUUGACGGUACCAGAGGAAUAAGCACCGGCUAACUCCGUGCCAGCAGCCGCGGUAAUACGGAGGGUGCAAGCGUUAUCCGGAUUCACUGGGUUUAAAGGGUGCGUAGGUGGGUAGGUAAGUCCGUGGUGAAAUCUCUGAGCUUAACUCAGAAACUGCCGUGGAUACUAUUUAUCUUGAAUAUUGUGGAGGUGAGCGGAAUAUGUCAUGUAGCGGUGAAAUGCUUAGAUAUGACAUAGAACACCAAUUGCGAAGGCAGCUCACUACACAAUCAUUGACGCUGAGGCACGAAAGCGUGGGGAUCAAACAGGAUUAGAUACCCGGGUAGUCC